CAGACAGCACAGACACCAGCAGCACGGGGAUCCGGCCCAACCUGAGACACAAACACCAUCACACACACAUCACAACAUCUGCAACACACCAGUGUGUCUCUGACCUACCAGUCUGCCAUCGCUCCCAUCAGCAGUGUUGUCACAUCCUCAAAUGAGCCAGAGAGCUUCUUUAGCAUUUGAAUGAAGCUCUUCAACGCACUCCGAAAAGACACUAGACUAUCGGUGUGAUAAAGGUCACACACUCACAGCAGGUCAUCAGGACAUCAGGCAUCCGUCUAUUCAGCCAAAGACUCCAAGAAAAACAUCCCAACAGGAACAGUGUCCUGGAACGCACAGCAUUAUCUCAGACUCACAGAUAAACUAAUGAAUUUGGAGGGAAGCUUGUGCUUGUUGGGGCUUGUUUCACCAGGGGAUAAAAUAAAAAUAUGAUUGUGAAUUUUUAUCUCACAA
This is a long non-coding RNA of Carassius carassius (crucian carp), 450 nucleotides long. RefSeq lists it as uncharacterized. The record is from RefSeq and is a predicted model, not a curated record. The transcript has 2 exons. Lineage: Eukaryota; Metazoa; Chordata; Actinopteri; Cypriniformes; Cyprinidae.